Molecule: long non-coding RNA, 464 nt
Organism: Macrobrachium nipponense
Lineage: Eukaryota; Metazoa; Arthropoda; Malacostraca; Decapoda; Palaemonidae
Exons: 7
Source: RefSeq, a predicted model, not a curated record
UGAUGAAAUAAACACAGACCUGUAUUGAAUUUAAAUGAAAAUAAAGUCUUACUGAUUGCUUAUAGAUGUAGUUAAUAUAUUUGUCAUAUUUUAGUAUUGAUGUAAUGUCUUGAAUUUAGGGUCCAUUGUGCCGUCAUUUUACCUGACAUGCUUGACAAGUGGCUCCGAAAGUUAGAGGGCGUAAGAAAAAGGGUUAUGGAGAGGAACAAGAUAAAUCAUUCUAGGAAUGAGGUUGGAUUAAAUGGAAGUCCAGGAUGAUGCCAUGGCUCCCCAUUGGAAGUUUGUAAAUUUUUACGGGAUUUCAAACAAUUCACAGAUGGAACCGACCGGAGGACUCAACAUAAGGAUGAGUUCUAACGCCUGCAAAUUAGGACUACAUAGAGAAUGAGAUCUGACACUGGUGAUUUCUGACAGGUAUGAAUCAUUCCCCAUGUGACUCCACAUUUUGUGAAGGAGGCAGCAGA